RNAcentral lists this transfer RNA (86 nucleotides) under Arthrobacter sp. 8AJ. Its description in RNAcentral is "tRNA-Leu". It matches the Rfam family "tRNA". Rfam says of the family: Transfer RNA (tRNA) molecules are approximately 80 nucleotides in length. Lineage: Bacteria; Bacillati; Actinomycetota; Actinomycetes; Micrococcales; Micrococcaceae. The record is from RNAcentral.
GCGCGGGUGGCGGAAUGGCAGACGCGCUAGCUUGAGGUGCUAGUCCUCGAAAGGGGGUGGGGGUUCAAGUCCCCCUCCGCGCACGA